This 76-nucleotide transfer RNA is filed under the name Nocardiopsis aegyptia. Its description in RNAcentral is "tRNA-Arg". It matches the Rfam family "tRNA". From Rfam's summary of the family: Transfer RNA (tRNA) molecules are approximately 80 nucleotides in length. Their secondary structure includes four short double-helical elements and three loops (D, anti-codon, and T loops). Lineage: Bacteria; Bacillati; Actinomycetota; Actinomycetes; Streptosporangiales; Nocardiopsidaceae. RNAcentral also lists the same sequence under 7 other names. The record is from RNAcentral.
GGCUCCAUAGCUCAGGGGAUAGAGCACCGCUCUCCUAAAGCGGGUGUCGCAGGUUCGAAUCCUGCUGGGGCCGCCA